UGGGUUUCUAAGAUUCCAUUGUGGUGGCUUUCCAACUUUAUUCUUGCUGUAGCUUCUGGCACUUUAGCCAAAGCGUUCACUCUUUUGGCUUGAGCUUGCUAGCCUUAAGGUCGGUUUAUACCUUAAGUUUAGUUCUAGUGCUUUCCUUCCAUUUAAGGGUUUCCUCUAUUUCUUUCAUUCUAUUUCCUUUUUCUUUACCUCCAUCUUGAGGUGGUGUACAUAUCUUGUUUGUGUGUGAACUUUUUACUUCUCCAUUUGUUGUAGUGACUCGGUGGUGAGAGUCUCGUUCAUUGCUUGUUUCUUCAUAAUAUCUCCCUGGUUUACUAGGGGAAUUGAAUAUCUCAUGACGCGAUUCAUUUACGAACUCCUUUACGCAUUUCUCAUUAUUAUCCACCAUGUAGACCACAUAUUGACAGUUGGUUGAAAACUUCAUCAUACUCACUAUCUGCUCCAGUUCUU
Molecule: long non-coding RNA, 459 nt
Filed under: Salvia miltiorrhiza (redroot sage)
Lineage: Eukaryota; Viridiplantae; Streptophyta; Magnoliopsida; Lamiales; Lamiaceae
Description: long non-coding RNA (SMIL_LNC010018)
Source: RNAcentral